AGUGAACGCUGGCGGUAGGCCUAACACAUGCAAGUCGAACGGCAGCACAGUAAGAGCUUGCUCUUAAGGGUGGCGAGGGGCGGACGGGUGAGGAAUACAUCGGAAUCUACUUUUUCGUGGGGGAUAACGUAGGGAAACUUACGCUAAUACCGCAUACGACCUACGGGUGAAAGCAGGGGAUCUUCGGACCUUGCGCGAUUGAAUGAGCCGAUGUCGGAUUAGCUAGUUGGCGAGGUAAAGGCCCACCAAGGCAACGAUCCGUAGCUGGUCUGAGAGGAUGAUCAGCCACACUGGAACUGAGACACGGUCCAGACUCCUACGGGAGGCAGCAGUGGGGAAUAUUGGACAAUGGGCGCAAGCCUGAUCCAGCCAUACCGCGUGGGUGAAGAAGGCCUUCGGGUUGUAAAGCCCUUUUGUUGGGAAAGAAAAGCAGCAGGUUAAUACCCCGCUGUUCUGACGGUACCCAAAGAAUAAGCACCGGCUAACUUCGUG
Molecule: ribosomal RNA, 492 nt
Filed under: uncultured bacterium
Lineage: Bacteria
Description: partial 16S ribosomal RNA
Rfam family: Bacterial small subunit ribosomal RNA
Source: RNAcentral